GGCAAAAUAAUUACAAUAAAUGCUUUAUAUAUACAUUCAAACUUUUCAAAUGUAGCGCAUUCGUACAGGUACAGUAACUGCAUGCAAGAUUAUCCAAAUGUAAAUGACAUAUUAAUGAGUAUGUGUAACGAGACUCGUUAAAGUCAUUAUAUUGCUUUACUUUGUCUACAAAUGCGGACGAAUGCGAAGUGUGUAAAAUGCUCUUGAGUAAUUGAUCGACAUACUAAGGAUUUUUACGUGUUUGACUGAAUAUCGGAACCGAUCUUGUCGUAAACACUUCAAUUUUUUGUUAAGCGAUAUCGCUUUAAUAGUGGUUUAGCUAGUAUACAGAGUCAGAGUUUUGCAUACAACGCUUUCAGAGUUGCUUUCAUCCGUCUAUGUUGUAUACAUAUCGAAGAAGUAUUGAAGUUGUUCACCAUGGCUUGUUGUUCCUGAUUUUCCUGAGGAAUUUCUGUUCCGUCCAUUGCCACAUUAGCAUUGCAUUCAAUCACAUUCAAGUUGUGUUCAAACUAAAACAUUCGUCCGUUCAAAGAGCGCCCACUUUGGCUUCCACUUUCUUUCGGUGCGCAGCAGGAAUAUCAAAGCCAACAUUGUGUGAUUAAUUGGCAUGCAUUUCAGAUGUAAAACUUGGAGAAGAUUGCAAUGGCCUGACGUGUUGUGAAAAGUGUACCAAACAGAUCGUGUUGUAGCAUGAGUUCAGAGAAGCAGCCUGGAGUUCUUGACAUAGCAGUUAUAUCUGGUGUCUUGGCACUCGUUCUUAUAUCUGUAAUAGCGUACUUCGUCUCACGUUGUUUCUGCCGACAACGACAUUACGAAGACGGAACUUACGAUGAUGUAAGAAGUUUAGAACGUAUACAUAAUUCUGUAUUUAUUAUUCCAUUUUAUAAUCAGGGUUUCAAUCCUAUGCCACCAAUAUAUAAUGAUGUUGAUGGGAUAAAAUUGUAGUUGUUGUGUACUACAUAAAACUUCAGUCAACAAAUGGAUUGCCGAUAUUUGAAACAUAAAUAACGAACACUUUUCAUCAGUUUUCUCGAACACUUCCAUUAUACAUGCUUAUUUGAGUACCGUUAAUCGUUAUAUACAUGCAGGAGUGUAGACUAUAUAGACGUACGUGUAAUUUGUAUUCGUUAAUUGUAUCCACUAAAUCUUUAUUAAAUGGUCGGAAAUUCCUUUAAAAAAUAAACUUUAUCAUUCGCUAACUUCCAAACCAAAAACCUUUGCCUUCGCUCAAAACGUCGAAGUUUUCUUCAUCUCGCACUUUGAGAUGAAACCACUAUGUAGUUCCGACCAAAACCACAAAUUAAUCACCAGUUUGGACUUUAAUUUAGGUCGUUUAGGCGUUUAUGUGAUAUAGACGUAAAUAUAUACUAUACAAAUCGGCCUCUGUCAGGUUCAAAACUAUACCUGAAACUCGUAUACCGAUACCGAGGUUGAGAUAACUGCUGGUACGCCUCAAUUAUCUUUAUAUAUUUCAAACGGUAACAGAUCAUUUGUGACCAACAUUGGGCUUGGGCCAGGUGAUAGAGUUCGACGGACGUCAGGCAUGGCUGGAGAACAUUGUCUCUUUCUAGAGACGGUAUCGCGUUAUCUAGUCGAGAAUGAGGUG
Molecule: non-coding RNA, 1606 nt
Organism: Paramuricea clavata
Lineage: Eukaryota; Metazoa; Cnidaria; Anthozoa; Malacalcyonacea; Plexauridae
Source: the annotation of a GenBank genome assembly